This 77-nucleotide small nucleolar RNA is filed under the name Chloebia gouldiae (Gouldian finch). RNAcentral describes it as "Erythrura gouldiae (Gouldian finch) Small nucleolar RNA snR60/Z15/Z230/Z193/J17 (ENSEGOG00005004396.1)". It matches the Rfam family "Small nucleolar RNA SNORD77". Rfam says of the family: U77 belongs to the C/D family of snoRNAs. It is predicted to guide 2'O-ribose methylation of large 28S rRNA subunit at position A1521. The C/D snoRNAs U44, U47, U74, U75, U76, U78, U79, U80 and U81 share the same host gene as U77 (non-coding). Lineage: Eukaryota; Metazoa; Chordata; Aves; Passeriformes; Passeridae. The record is from RNAcentral.
CAGAUACAGUGAUGACGGCAUAGUUCAGCAGAAUAUCCUGUGUUGAGCACUUGCUUCGCCCCUAUCUGAUGUAUCUG